Molecule: ribosomal RNA, 400 nt
Filed under: phytoplankton environmental sample
Lineage: Eukaryota
Description: partial small subunit ribosomal RNA
Rfam family: Eukaryotic small subunit ribosomal RNA
Source: RNAcentral
AGCUCCAAUAGCGUAUAUUAAAGUUGUUGCAGUUAAAAAGCUCGUAGUUGGAUUUCGGAGCCGACCGGGCGGUCUGUCGAGAGACACGCACUGCACGGUGGCUCUUCCUCUCGGAGGCCCUGGCUGCCCUUAACUGGAGCGGGCAGGGGAUUCGGGACGUUUACUUUGAAAAAAUUAGAGUGUUCAAAGCAGGCCGGUGCUUGGAUACAUUAGCAUGGAAUAAUGGAAUAGGACUACGGUCCCUAUUUCGUUGGUUUGACGGACCGAAGUAAUGAUUAAGAGGGACAAUUGGGGGCAUCCGUAUUUCGUAGUCAGAGGUGAAAUUCUUGGACCUACGAAAGACGAACAACUGCGAAAGCAUUUGCCAAGAGUGUUUUCAUUAAUCAAGAACGAAAGUAGG